CCACUGUCUGAGUUCUCUUCCUGGCAGGGAGGCUGGCACUGUGGAGGACAGCAGGCUGCUCUGGUGGAAGCUCCUCCAGGCCUUGGCUGGUAGUGGGAGGCCUCCUGUUUGAAGCUGUUGGUGAUGCCGUACCUGGGGAACAUGUACACUUGCACUGUUUCUUGACUCAUGCCUAGAACUCCACAGCUUCAAGGUUUGGAAGCCUGGCUACGCUCCUGAGAAGGGGUAUAUCAAGGAGACUUUAUUCAAGAAGCAAAACCAAACAAAAACAGAGGAAGAGACUGAAAACCACAUCAUUUCCUGGUAAAGAGUGUACGGUGAAUUGGGUGAAGGAAUACGGACUCAAGAAAACCCGUGGGGGAAAAUUGACGCUUCCUCCCAGCCCCCACCCCGCUUACUUCCUCUGUUUAUCUGCCAAUGCAGAAAAUAAGCCAACAAUAAAA
Molecule: long non-coding RNA, 443 nt
Organism: Macaca mulatta (Rhesus monkey)
Lineage: Eukaryota; Metazoa; Chordata; Mammalia; Primates; Cercopithecidae
Source: RefSeq, a predicted model, not a curated record